GUAGGUGAACCUGCGGAAGGAUCAUUAACACUUGAAUCUCCAACUUACUGGAAUGUUGUUUGUGGCAUCCGUCACAUGCAUUUCAGUAUUUUACACCCCCACACUUGUGAACCUUUGUUUGGAAAUGCUCAUUUGCUUGACCAUUUCCGCAUUUUUUUUUCUUUGCUUGCUAAAACAAAACAAAAAAACCCAAUUGAACUUAAUUUGACUGAAAUCGUUUUUUGUUUGGUCUGCGAAAGCACAUCAACACAAAACAAAAAAAAGAGAAAAUGUGAAAAACAACUCUUAGCAACGGAUAUCUUGGCUCUC
This 309-nucleotide unclassified non-coding RNA is filed under the name rhizosphere metagenome. Its description in RNAcentral is "partial ribosomal RNA internal transcribed spacer region". The record is from RNAcentral.